RNAcentral lists this non-coding RNA (322 nucleotides) under Bacillus methanolicus MGA3. The record is from RNAcentral. Lineage: Bacteria; Bacillati; Bacillota; Bacilli; Caryophanales; Bacillaceae.
GAGACAAUUUAGAAACAAUCGGAAUAUCUGAUUGAUGUUUAAAUUUGUUCAAAUAGUGUCUUCCUUUUUCGGUCAUUCCUAAGAGCCGCAGAUAACUUGCUUUUGGUUGCUUCAUAUCAGAUUUUUUUGCAUUUGUUAAAAUAUGGACACAUGUUCUUUGCAGUCUUGUCCACGUAUACCUCUUUGUUUUUAUUUUUUUCAUAAAGUCUUUAAAGCUAUCUGCAUAGAGAGCAUAGGAAAUCAAUCGAUUUUCAAGGCCUUCUUCCACUUCAUAAAUAGCUUUCAACUCUUCUUGAUUUGUUUGCAGAAGUUUAUAGCGAAG